AGGUACUAGGAGAAGUAGUCCAAAACAAGCAAUAAGAAAGACUCAUGGAUAGAAAAGGGUUGGUACGUGUGUAUCAUGAUUGGUUAUUGUGAGGGUGAAUACAUGGGUGAAUCUAUAAAAAGAGCUAAUGGUGUUCACAUUUCUGAAGCGGUGCAUCACCUUUCCUCUACAUGAGCUAUACUAUGGAAUAUCUGCAAUUGCAAGGUUCUGUUUGUUAGUUCAUAUUGUGUGCAGAAACCCUGUAAGUGGCUUGUGCAACUCCUAAUGGAUCUGUAUUAUUUGUACAGAAAUCAUGUUCUUCAUCGUGAUGUCAAUGUCAGUUGCAAAAUCUUCAUACUGUGCAUAGUGAUUGAUAUAUUAAGUUGUUAUAUAUUGGCUUGAGAUACUCUUGAAUUGUCUGUACUGAUACUGCUUUGUGAUAGGUGUAGAAUACACCAUUAAUUAUUAUUUAUUAGUUAUGCUUUCUUUGCUAUUUUUCUUGUAAAUUAUAUAUUUUACGCGUGUUUUGAGUUUCAUAGCUACUUUGGAGUCACACUAAAGAAAAGAAGAAGAAAUCAUCCAAAAUUGGGAAGAAGGGCCAAAGACCAAUUUCAACUCAUUAAAAUCCAGGAUUUCUUAUGACCAUCUUGAAGAGAAUUCAAAUACAAAAAGAACGCAAAAAGAAUGAGGACAUUCCGAGUUCGUAUGAAUAAAUUAUGAGCAAAAUGGUGAAACCAAUUUGAAUUAGGUUUCUGUUGGGCCUUAUUGGGCUUGCGCGAAAAGAGAAUGGAGGGAUGCGUUUUGGGCUUGCUAUUGGCGUGAAAAUUAGGAUUUUUGGUGGAUUUGAGGAGGUUAAGUAUCCUAAUUGGAUAGGGAUUAACAGGAUUACAAGGAAAUUGAAGCCAAUAAAUAGAGAAGUUCUACACUUUUUUCAUAUACACUUCUAUAAUUACUUCUUCUACUUUUUGUUCUAGGGUUUAGACAUGAAAUCUUUUCUCUUUAUUCUUGUUAUGAACUCCAUGAACAUGAGCUAAAUUUUAUUAUUGGUUAAAGAUGUAGUUGGAUUUUGAAAACAAGUUAUGAAUUUUACGAAUUAGUUUUCUCUCAA
This is a long non-coding RNA of Papaver somniferum (opium poppy), 1087 nucleotides long. RefSeq lists it as uncharacterized. NCBI's taxonomy places the organism in Eukaryota, Viridiplantae, Streptophyta, Magnoliopsida, Ranunculales, Papaveraceae. The record is from RefSeq and is a predicted model, not a curated record. The transcript is spliced from 3 exons.